CCUACGGGAGGCAGCAGUGGGGAAUAUUGGGCAAUGGAGGAAACUCUGACCCAGCGACGCCGCGUGCGGGAUGAAGGCCUUCGGGUUGUAAACCGCUUUCAGUAGGGAAGAAGCGAAAGUGACGGUACCUACAGAAGAAGCACCGGCUAACUAUGUGCCAGCAGCCGCGGUAAUACAUAGGGUGCAAGCGUUGUCCGGAAUUAUUGGGCGUAAAGAGCUCGUAGGUGGUUCGUCACGUCGGAUGUGAAAAUCUGGGGCUCAACCCCAGACCUGCAUUCGAUACGGGCGAUCUAGAGUGUGGUAGGGGAGACUGGAAUUCCUGGUGUAGCGGUGGAAUGCGCAGAUAUCAGGAGGAACACCAAUGGCGAAGGCAGGUCUCUGGGCCAUUACUGACACUGAGGAGCGAAAGCGUGGGGAGCGAACAGGAUUAGAUACCCUGGUAGUCCACGCCGUAAACGGUGGGCACUAGUUGUGGGAACCUUCCACGGUUUCUGCGACGCNGCUACGCAUAGUAGCCCGCCGUCGGGAGGUACGAGUCGCGAGAAGUUAAACGUAACGUAAAGUAGUAAGUUAGUUACGGUACGUUGAGACGUUGCCGACGGACGACGACGAGGGAGGAGG
This 621-nucleotide ribosomal RNA is filed under the name uncultured bacterium. Its description in RNAcentral is "bacterial SSU rRNA". The stretch from base 1 to 521 matches the Rfam family "Bacterial small subunit ribosomal RNA", at positions 338 to 873 of the family's 1533-position model. The record is from RNAcentral.